UACGAAGGGACCUAGCGUAGUUCGGAAUUACUGGGCUUAAAGAGUUCGUAGGUGGUUGAAAAAGUUGGUGGUGAAAUCCCAGAGCUUAACUCUGGAACUGCCAUCAAAACUUUUCAGCUAGAGUAUGAUAGAGGAAAGCAGAAUUUCUAGUGUAGAGGUGAAAUUCGUAGAUAUUAGAAAGAAUACCAAUUGCGAAGGCAGCUUUCUGGAUCAUUACUGACACUGAGGAACGAAAGCAUGGGUAGCGAAGAGGAUUAGAUACCCUCGUAGUCCAUGCCGUAAACGAUGUGUGUUAGACGUUGGAAAUUUAUUUUCAGUGUCGCAGCGAAAGCGAUAAACACACCGCCUGGGGAGUACGACCGCAAGGUUAAAACUCAAAUGAAUUGACGGGGACCCGCACAAGUAGUGGAGCAUGUGGUUUAAUUCGAAGAUACGCGCGGAACCUUACCAACACUUGACAUGUUCGUCGCGACUCUAAGAGAUUAGAGUUUUCGGUUCGGCCGGACGAAACACAGGUGCUGCAUGGCUGUCGUCAGCUCGUGUCGUGAGAUGUUGGGUUAAGUCCCGCAACGAGCGCAACCCUCACUUUUAGUUGCCAUCAUUAAGUUGGGCACUCUGAAAGAACUGCCAGUGAUAAGCUGGAGGAAGGUGGGGAUGACGUCAAGUCCUCAUGGCCCUUACGUGUUGGGCUACACACGUGCUACAAUGGUAUCUACAACAGGAAGCAAGACUGCGAAGUUAAGCAAAUCCCUAAAAGAUACCUCAGUUCGGAUUGCACUCUGCAACUCGAGUGCAUGAAGCUGGAAUUACUAGUAAUCGUGGAUCAGCGUGCCACGGUGAAUGCGUUCCCGGGUCA
This 856-nucleotide ribosomal RNA is filed under the name uncultured bacterium. RNAcentral describes it as "SSU rRNA". It matches the Rfam family "Bacterial small subunit ribosomal RNA", at positions 524 to 1381 of the family's 1533-position model. The record is from RNAcentral.